UACAGAGGUCUCAAGCGUUGUUCGGAUUCAUUGGGCGUAAAGGGUGUGUAGGUGGCGCGCUAAGUCGGGUGUGAAAUUUCGGAGCUUAACUCCGAAACUGCAUUCGAUACUGGCGUGCUUGAGGACUGGAGAGGAGACUGGAAUUCAUGGUGUAGCAGUGAAAUGCGCAGAUAUCAGGAAGAACACCCGUGGCGAAGGCGGCUCUCUGGGACGGUACUGACGCUGAGACGCGAAAGCGUGGGGAGCGAACAGG
Molecule: ribosomal RNA, 253 nt
Filed under: uncultured bacterium
Lineage: Bacteria
Description: partial 16S ribosomal RNA
Rfam family: Bacterial small subunit ribosomal RNA
Source: RNAcentral